UAUGUGAUCGUCUCUCGCAUAUCAAUAAGCGGAGGAAAAGAAACUAACAAGGAUUCCCCUAGUAACGGCGAGUGAAGCGGGAAGAGCUCAAAUUUGAAAUCUUAAAGGGUUUCCCUUUACGAAUUGUAGUUUAAAGAAGUGUCUUCUGUUGAGGUUUUGGUAAAAGUUCUUUGGAAUAGGACAUCAUAGAGGGUGAGAAUCCCGUAUUUGACCUUUACUUUCAACUUUGUGAUACACUUUCAAAGAGUCGGAUUGUUUGGGAAUGCAGUCCAAAAUGGGUGGUAAAUUUCAUCUAAAGCUAAAUAUUGGCGAGAGACCGAUAGCGAACAAGUACCGUGAGGGAAAGAUGAAAAGAACUUUGAAAAGAGAGUUAAGCAGUACGUGAAAUUGUCAAAAGGGAAGCGUUUGACACCAGUGUUGUUUUUCUGAAAAUCAAUUAAAGAACUGUUUAUGCUAAGUUGUUUAGACUUUAUCAGCUAAUCUGUUUAGUUUUAGGCUUUUCUUUAAUGCACUUUUCAGUUAACAAGUCAACAUCAAUUUCUUUUGCUGUAAAAAAGCUUGAGGAAGGUGGCUUGAGAUUCGUCUUAAGUGUUUAUAGCCUCUUGCCUAUGCAGUCGGAGAGAUUGAGGUCUGCAGCGUAGAUCCUUCGGGGCUAAAUGCAUUUGUGCUAAGUUAUAGCAUUUUAUAGACAACUUGUUGACUAUGAUUUGUCUUGUAGCUUACUCGCUUAUGUUAUUUUACCUACGCUUAGGAUGUUGAUCUACAGAGCGAGAGU
RNAcentral lists this ribosomal RNA (775 nucleotides) under uncultured Neocallimastigales. RNAcentral describes it as "partial large subunit ribosomal RNA". It matches the Rfam family "Eukaryotic large subunit ribosomal RNA", at positions 24 to 635 of the family's 3401-position model. The record is from RNAcentral. Lineage: Eukaryota; Fungi; Neocallimastigomycota; Neocallimastigomycetes; Neocallimastigales.